Molecule: ribosomal RNA, 2376 nt
Filed under: Salmonella enterica subsp. enterica serovar Chester
Lineage: Bacteria; Pseudomonadati; Pseudomonadota; Gammaproteobacteria; Enterobacterales; Enterobacteriaceae
Description: partial 23S ribosomal RNA
Rfam family: Bacterial large subunit ribosomal RNA
Source: RNAcentral
AACGGAGCGCAAGCGACGUUCAACCGCAAAAGAAGCAGAGGGGGCUUAGUGGUGGGGUGACUGCGUACCUUUUGUAUAAUGGGUCAGCGACUUAUAUUCUGUAGCAAGGUUAACCGAAUAGGGGAGCCGGAGGGAAACCGAGUCUUAAUUGGGCGUUAAGUUGCAGGGUAUAGACCCGAAACCCGGUGAUCUAGCCAUGGGCAGGUUGAAGGUUGGGUAACACUAACUGGAGGACCGAACCGACUAAUGUUGAAAAAUUAGCGGAUGACCUGUGGCUGGGGGUGAAAGGCCAAUCAAACCGGGAGAUAGCUGGUUCUCCCCGAAAGCUAUUUAGGUAGCGCCUCGUGAAUUCAUCUCCGGGGGUAGAGCACUGUUUCGGCUAGGGGGCCAUCCCGGCUUACCAACCCGAUGCAAACUGCGAAUACCGGAGAAUGUUAUCACGGGAGACACACGGCGGGUGCUAACGUCCGUCGUGAAGAGGGAAACAACCCAGACCGCCAGCUAAGGUCCCAAAGUCAUGGUUAAGUGGGAAACGAUGUGGGAAGGCCCAGACAGCCAGGAUGUUGGCUUAGAAGCAGCCAUCAUUUAAAGAAAGCGUAAUAGCUCACUGGUCGAGUCGGCCUGCGCGGAAGAUGUAACGGGGCUAAACCAUGCACCGAAGCUGCGGCAGCGACGCUGAUGCGUUGUUGGGUAGGGGAGCGUUCUGUAAGCCUGCGAAGGUGGCCUGUGAGGGUUGCUGGAGGUAUCAGAAGUGCGAAUGCUGACAUAAGUAACGAUAAAGCGGGUGAAAAGCCCGCUCGCCGGAAGACCAAGGGUUCCUGUCCAACGUUAAUCGGGGCAGGGUGAGUCGACCCCUAAGGCGAGGCCGAAAGGCGUAGUCGAUGGGAAACGGGUUAAUAUUCCCGUACUUGGUGUUACUGCGAAGGGGGGACGGAGAAGGCUAUGUUGGCCGGGCGACGGUUGUCCCGGUUUAAGCGUGUAGGUGUGUGUUCCAGGUAAAUCCGGUUCACUUUAACACUGAGGCGUGAUGACGAGGCACUACGGUGCUGAAGCAACAAAUGCCCUGCUUCCAGGAAAAGCCUCUAAGCAUCAGGUAACAUCAAAUCGUACCCCAAACCGACACAGGUGGUCAGGUAGAGAAUACCAAGGCGCUUGAGAGAACUCGGGUGAAGGAACUAGGCAAAAUGGUGCCGUAACUUCGGGAGAAGGCACGCUGACACGUAGGUGAAGUGAUUUACUCAUGGAGCUGAAGUCAGUCGAAGAUACCAGCUGGCUGCAACUGUUUAUUAAAAACACAGCACUGUGCAAACACGAAAGUGGACGUAUACGGUGUGACGCCUGCCCGGUGCCGGAAGGUUAAUUGAUGGGGUCAGCGCAAGCGAAGCUCCUGAUCGAAGCCCCGGUAAACGGCGGCCGUAACUAUAACGGUCCUAAGGUAGCGAAAUUCCUUGUCGGGUAAGUUCCGACCUGCACGAAUGGCGUAAUGAUGGCCAGGCUGUCUCCACCCGAGACUCAGUGAAAUUGAACUCGCUGUGAAGAUGCAGUGUACCCGCGGCAAGACGGAAAGACCCCGUGAACCUUUACUAUAGCUUGACACUGAACAUUGAGCCUUGAUGUGUAGGAUAGGUGGGAGGCUUUGAAGUGUGGACGCCAGUCUGCAUGGAGCCGACCUUGAAAUACCACCCUUUAAUGUUUGAUGUUCUAACGUGGACCCGUGAUCCGGGUUGCGGACAGUGUCUGGUGGGUAGUUUGACUGGGGCGGUCUCCUCCUAAAGAGUAACGGAGGAGCACGAAGGUUGGCUAAUCCUGGUCGGACAUCAGGAGGUUAGUGCAAUGGCAUAAGCCAGCUUGACUGCGAGCGUGACGGCGCGAGCAGGUGCGAAAGCAGGUCAUAGUGAUCCGGUGGUUCUGAAUGGAAGGGCCAUCGCUCAACGGAUAAAAGGUACUCCGGGGAUAACAGGCUGAUACCGCCCAAGAGUUCAUAUCGACGGCGGUGUUUGGCACCUCGAUGUCGGCUCAUCACAUCCUGGGGCUGAAGUAGGUCCCAAGGGUAUGGCUGUUCGCCAUUUAAAGUGGUACGCGAGCUGGGUUUAGAACGUCGUGAGACAGUUCGGUCCCUAUCUGCCGUGGGCGCUGGAGAACUGAGGGGGGCUGCUCCUAGUACGAGAGGACCGGAGUGGACGCAUCACUGGUGUUCGGGUUGUCAUGCCAAUGGCACUGCCCGGUAGCUAAAUGCGGAAGAGAUAAGUGCUGAAAGCAUCUAAGCACGAAACUUGCCCCGAGAUGAGUUCUCCCUGAGACUUUAGGUCUCCUGAAGGAACGUUGAAGACGACGACGUUGAUAGGCCGGGUGUGUAAGCGCAGCGAUGCGUUGAGC